AUACAUAGCAAACUGAAGAAAAUAGGAUAAACCUUGGUAUAACCAAAAGACAGAACAUCAAAGAUAUAGUAGUAAGAUUCUGAGAUUUAUUUCUGAUUUCCUUGCUUUUCUGAUACUCUACAGUUUCAUCAUUCCAAUUUCAUUAUAUGUAACAGUUGUAAUGCAGAAAUUUCUUAGAUUAUUUUUUAUUGGCUGGGCUCUUGAUCUCUGUCAUGAGGAAUCAAAUCAGAAAGCUCAAGUCAGUACUUCCGAUUUGAAUGAAGAACUUGGACAGGUGGACUAUGUGUUUACAGAUAAAACUGAAACACUGACAGAAUAUGAGAUGCAGUUCUGGAAAUGUUCAAUUAAUGGCAUAAAAUACCAAGAAAUCAGUGGUAAGACUUGUACCUGAAGGACCAACACCUGACUCUUCAGAAGGAAACUUUUCUUAGUGGUUUAUCCUACCUUAGCAGCUUAGCCCAUCUUACAAGGUAAUUCUGAAGACAUUAUGGAAAUUAAAAUACUUGGAAAACUGGAAUGGUAAAAACUGCUUCAUGUUCUGGAAUUUGAUUCAGAUUGUAGGAGAAUGAAUGUAAUUGUUUAAGCAUGUUCAGGUAAGAAGCUUUUAUUUGCUAAAGGAGCAGAAUUCUUCCUAAUUCUUCCUAAUUGCAUAGGUGGAAAAAUAGAGAAAACCAGAAUUCAUGUAGACAAAUUUGCUUUGAAAGGGCUAAGAACUCUGUGUUUAGCUUAUAGACAGUUUACACCUAAAGAUUAUGAGAAGACAGAUGCUUUUUUGAAGCCAGGACUGCCUUGCAGCAGUGGGAAGAGAAACUGCUGAAGUCUUCCAGUUCAUAGAGAAAGACCUGAUAUUACUUGGGGCUACAGCAGAAGACAGAUUACAAGAUAAAAGUUCGAGAAACUAUUGAAGCGUUGAAAAUAGCUGGUAGCAAAGUAUGGGUACUUACUGGAGAUAAACAUGAAACCACUGUUAGUGUGAGUUUAUCAUGUGAACAUCUUCAUAGAAUUAUGAACAUCCUUGAACUUGUUUUGUUUUGUUUUGGUUUUGGUACCAGGGAUCGAACUCGAGACCUUGCGCUUGCGAGGCAGGUGGUAUCACCACUAAGCUAAAACCCCGGCCUGCCAUCCUUGAACUUAUUAACCGGAAUUCAGACAACAAAUGCACUGAACAGGUGAAGCAGCUUGCCAGAAGAACUGGGAUCAUGUAACUCAGUAUGGGCUGGUAGUGGAUGGGACCAGGCUAUCUAUUACACUCAGGAAGCAUGAAAAUCUAUUUAUGGAAGUUUGCAGAAAUUGUUCGGCUGUAUCAUGCUGUCGUAUGGCACCACUGCAGAAAGCAAAAAUUUAGCAAGAAACACACAGCAUACAAAUGUGAAGGAGGAAGCUGGGAAAGAAUGGAGCAAGCUAUUUCUUUCCUAGUGGAUCCCAGUCACAUCUGACCAGGACUCACAGGAGCUGAAGUCAGGCCGGCUAUGCUGCUGCAACCCUCUGCUCAGAGCCUUUCUCUCCCUUGUCAUCCAGCAGAAACAGUCAAGGAGUCUCUCAGGACUCUGGUAUCUGGCCCAAAGCCCAAGUGCACUAGCUCACUUUAACUGAGCAUCUUUGCAUCAGUUCCUCUCACCGCCAAGUCCCAUGGGAUGGAUCCUGCUGCAAGAGCUUGUAGCAAGCAGUGACCAAAGCUUUGUCCUGAGAAAAACAUCACUUUGUCCCUCAAAGUUUCUCACAGCAAAACCCCUGGGAAACAGCUCCACUGAGGAGUCAGCCCUGGCAUUCGGGGCACAUCUAGCAAAAUGUGCAGGAGGGCUGAGGGGAGGCUCCCUAAUCCACACAGGGAGUUCUGGCAGUAAUGAUCACAAAUGCAGCAGCCAAUGCAUGGUGGUGCACACCGGAAAUCCCAGCACUCUGGGAGGCUGAGGCAGGAGGAUCUGAAGUUCAAGCUCAGUCUGGCAAUUUAGCAACUUAGCAAGACUGUCUCAAAAUAAAAAAUAAAAAAUGGUGGUAGGGAUGUAACUUAGCAUAAAGGCUCUGUUCAACCCCCAGCACCAUAAAACAAAAAAACCACACGCACACAUACACCCUCAAGCACACCUUUUGACUUAGCAAUUCCACCUUCAGCGAUCUGUAUUGCAGAUUUACUUUCACAUAUAUAAUUAUGGUAACAAGUUCAUUUAUUCUAACAAUAUAAUAGGAAAUGAUCAGAAACAACUAAUUAUGAGUACCAGACUGGUUUGAUUAUGCCUUCUCAAUGGAAUACUAUAUGGUAAAAAUAAAGAAUGAAGAGAUCUGGAGAUGCAGCUCAGUGGCAGAGUACUUGCCUGGCACGUAGGGAGCCCUACCCAGCAAACAACACAAAAGUUUCCAUAUUGAUACAGUUGCCAACACACAUUGCCCAUUGAAGAAAACAGAUGCAAAAAAAUCCCAAAAAUGUACAUAAUAUUCUAUUUCUGUAAGUGGCAAAAAAAUAGGCAUUUCCUUAUGAUGUGUACUACAUAUAAUUUUAUUUCAGGAUUCACAACUACUAUCAUUUGUCUUCAGGGAGAUGAAAAUGAUUGGAAAUUAAGUAGGAAACUUUUCUUUCCUUUUAUAUUUUCAUUUUUAAAACAUGUGAAUGCACCCAUUCAAAAGACUAGCCCAAAGUAAACUAGAUUUUCCACGUUUCUUAAUACCGUCAUCAUUAUUUUUAACCAUUUUAGGCAGAAGUUUGUACCCUGUGCUUGUCCUAUUUCACUGUGUUAUGAUGUAGGGAAAUUAGCUCCUAGUUAUGACUUAUCAACUACCAUAUAUACUUGUUACCCUGCUUAAUCCAUUCAACAAUCCUAAAGAGGCAUAUUUUGUCAUUUUACGGAAGAGAAAGUGUCAUUGCACAACAGCUGGUGUGGACUCUGCUUUCCCACAUCCUGAGCCCUUCCUUCCUAAGAUGAAGCCUGUUGGGGAGGAGCAUUUCCCUACCUCUGGUGAUAGUGGCUCUGUCAGCAGCUCGCAGACCUGGCUAUGUGUGAAUCACCAGGGGCGAGGGGGUUUGCAACAUGCUGGUAACAGCAAGAUUCAAAUUCCAACACACGACGCCAACCACAGAAUUUGGAUUCAAAGUUUUAAUAAUAAAUUGUGCCAAUAGAAGCUUUUCAAAGGCAAUGAUAUAUCAAUAAAUAAUAGUUAAACUGAGUUCCUGAGAAAGAACCUACCACAUAAAAGUAUGUCAGAGAGCUGUAAAUAACAACAUGGCUAUUACUAUAAAA
This is an RNA transcript of Heterocephalus glaber (naked mole-rat), 3233 nucleotides long. It is a transcript of the gene named phospholipid-transporting ATPase IF pseudogene, with no coding region annotated. The record is from RefSeq and is a predicted model, not a curated record. NCBI's taxonomy places the organism in Eukaryota, Metazoa, Chordata, Mammalia, Rodentia, Bathyergidae.